UGGGAACAUUGCUGCAAAGCUCCAGGAGUGAGAGCGCACAGCAAGGGCAAGGCCUGGGGCGGGCAGACAGACAGAUGGAUGGAUGGACAGACUGCAUCCUGAGGACAGACAGGGGGGGGAUGGAGAGGAGAGGAGAGGAGAGGAGAGCUCCCGCCGUGCAUUGCAUUAUACAUAUUUUCACCUCCGAUCCAUGGAUAAAAUUAAACAAUCAUUUGCAUGAACGUAUCGCUUUCCUUUGUCGAGCUCUGGGAAAAUGCUGAUGUCAGUGACACAGCACUGCCCGCCCUGCAGCCCCGUCCGUGUCCCCCUGUCCCCGUGUCCCCCUGUCCCCAUGUUCCCAUGUCCCCAUGUCUCCAUAUCCCUCCGUCUCCCUAUGUCCCCCUGUCUCCAUAUCCCUCCGUCUCCCUAUGUCCC
RNAcentral lists this long non-coding RNA (414 nucleotides) under Gallus gallus (chicken). Lineage: Eukaryota; Metazoa; Chordata; Aves; Galliformes; Phasianidae. The record is from RNAcentral.